AGAGUUUGAUCAUGGCUCAGAAUCAACGCUGGCGGCGUGCCUAACACAUGCAAGUCGAACGAGAAAGUGGAGCAAUCCAUGAGUAAAGUGGCGACCGGGUGAGUAACACGUGACUAACCUACCUUUUAGUGGGGGAUAACCUCGGGAAACCGAGGCUAAUACCGCAUAACAUCGCAAGAUCAAAGCAGCAAUGCGCUGGAAGAGGGGGUCGCGGCUGAUUAGCUAGUUGGCGGGGUAAUGGCCCACCAAGGCGAAGAUCGGUAUCCGGCCUGAGAGGGCGCACGGACACACUGGAACUGAAACACGGUCCAGA
Molecule: ribosomal RNA, 313 nt
Filed under: uncultured bacterium
Lineage: Bacteria
Description: bacterial SSU rRNA
Rfam family: Bacterial small subunit ribosomal RNA
Source: RNAcentral